This 92-nucleotide non-coding RNA is filed under the name unclassified sequences. The record is from Rfam.
UAGAAGUCUUAUCUGCGCUAAGUAUAAACAAUUGUUAUUGAGAAAGAAAACUCAAAAGAUAAGAAACUUAACUAAAUACUGAUAAUAUUUAG